Molecule: long non-coding RNA, 204 nt
Filed under: Elaeis guineensis (African oil palm)
Lineage: Eukaryota; Viridiplantae; Streptophyta; Magnoliopsida; Arecales; Arecaceae
Description: long non-coding RNA (EGUI_LNC050543)
Source: RNAcentral
AUCACGAUCCUAAAACCAUUAUCCAAACCUAUGAGAUUCAUUAUAAUCUUAAAAUCUAUAACAUACAGUAUAUAAUGAAUCAAAAAUAUCUUAUUUUAUUAAUUAUAAAAGUCAAUUAUAUGAAUUUGAAAGAUAAUUACAAUAAACAUCCAUCGCAUCCCAUAUGCGAUUGGCUUGUAGGGCAUUAUUCUUUCAAUCUCCCAG